Molecule: ribosomal RNA, 506 nt
Filed under: uncultured bacterium
Lineage: Bacteria
Description: partial 16S ribosomal RNA
Rfam family: Bacterial small subunit ribosomal RNA
Source: RNAcentral
AUUGAACGCUGGCGGCAGGCCUAACACAUGCAAGUCGAACGGUAACAGAAAGCAGCUUGCUGCUUUGCUGACGAGUGGCGGACGGGUGAGUAAUGUCUGGGAAACUGCCUGAUGGAGGGGGAUAACUACUGGAAACGGUAGCUAAUACCGCAUAACGUCGCACGACCAAAGAGGGGGACCUUCGGGCCUCUUGCCAUCGGCUGUGCCCAGAUGGGAUUAGCUAGUAGGUGGGGUAACGGCUCACCUAGGCGACGAAUCCUAGCUGGUCUGAGAGGAUGACCAGCCACACUGGAACUGAGACACGGUCCAGACUCCUACGGGAGGCAGCAGUGGGGAAUAUUGCACAAUGGGCGCAAGCCUGAUGCAGCCAUGCCGCGUGUAUGAAGAAGGCCUUCGGGUUGUAAAGUACUUUCAGCGGGGAGGAAGGGAGUAAAGUUAAUACCUUUACUCAUUGACGUUACCCGCAGAAGAAGCACCGGCUAACUCCGUGCCAGCCGCCGCCGUAA